Molecule: ribosomal RNA, 1413 nt
Filed under: uncultured bacterium
Lineage: Bacteria
Description: partial 16S ribosomal RNA
Rfam family: Bacterial small subunit ribosomal RNA
Source: RNAcentral
GAGUUUGAUCCUGGCUCAGAAUCAACGCUGGCGGCGUGCCUAACACAUGCAAGUCGAACACGAAAGUCCCGCAAGGGAUCAGUAGAGUGGCAAACGGGUGAGUAACACGUGGGUGACCUGCCUUCGAGCGGGGGAUAACGUCCCGAAAGGGACGCUAAUACCGCAUGACAUCCUGCUUUUGGAAAAGCGGAGAUCAAAGCUGGGGAUCGUAAGACCUGGCGCUUGAAGAGGGGCCCGCGCCUGAUUAGCUAGUUGGUGGGGUAACGGCCUACCAAGGCGACGAUCAGUAUCCGGCCUGAGAGGGCGGACGGACACACUGGGACUGAGACACGGCCCAGACUCCUACGGGAGGCAGCAGUGGGGAAUUGUUCGCAAUGGGCGCAAGCCUGACGACGCAACGCCGCGUGGAGGACGAAGAUCUUCGGGUCGUAAACUCCUGUCGAGUGGGAAGAACGCUUCGGGGGCGAAUAUCCCCCGGAAUUGACGGUACCACUAAAGGAAGCCCCGGCUAACUCCGUGCCAGCAGCCGCGGUAAUACGGGGGGGGCAAGCGUUGUUCGGAAUUACUGGGCGUAAAGGGCUCGUAGGCGGCCAACUAAGUCGGAUGUGAAAUCCCCAGGCUUAACCUGGGAACUGCAUCCGAUACUGGAUGGCUUGAAUUCGGGAGAGGGAUGCAGAAUUCCAGGUGUAGCAGUGAAAUGCGUAGAGAUCGAGAGGAACACCAGUGGCGAAGGCGAGUUCCUGGACAAGUCCUGACGCUGAGGCACGAAAGCCAGGGGAGCAAACAGGAUUAGAUACCCUGGUAGUCCUGGCUGUAAACGGUGCACGUUUGCUGUGAGAGGAAUCGACCCCUUUCGUGGCGGAGCUAACGCGAUAAACGUGCCGCCUGGGGAGUACGGUCGCAAGAUUAAAACUCAAAGAAAUUGACGGGGGCCUGCACAAGCGGUGGAGUAUGUGGCUCAAUUCGAUGCAACGCGAAGAACCUUACCUGGCCUUGACAUGCAUGUGGUAGAAGCCCGAAAGGGUAACGACCCCGCAAGGGGAGCAUGCACAGGUGCUGCAUGGCUGUCGUCAGCUCGUGUCGUGAGAUGUUGGGUUAAGUCCCGCAACGAGCGCAACCCUUGCGUCCUGUUGCCACCCCUACGAGAGUAGGGAGCACUCUGGACGGACUGCCUCGCUUCAACGGGGAGGAAGGUGGGGAUGACGUCAAGUCAGUAUGGCCCUUACGGCCAGGGCUGCACACGUACUACAAUGCCCGGCACAGAGGGAUGCCAAACCGAAAGGUGGAGCAAAUCCCCCAAAAACCGGGCCCAGUUCAGAUUGAGGUCUGCAACUCGACCUCAUGAAGUUGGAAUCGCUAGUAAUGGCGCAUCAGCUACGGCGCCGUGAAUACGUUCCCAGGCCUUGCACACAC